Molecule: long non-coding RNA, 1702 nt
Organism: Manacus vitellinus (golden-collared manakin)
Lineage: Eukaryota; Metazoa; Chordata; Aves; Passeriformes; Pipridae
Source: Ensembl
AAGUCCCCAUAUUCCAGGAGAUAUGCAUAUUAAAAUUUAAAAAAGGAUCUCCAUAAUCCUUUGUUGUCUUGAGGCUCUCCCCUCAGGAACUCCAGGAACUCCUGGUGCCGCCUGGGCCGAUGGAUUGGACGCCCCAGCCCCUCCGUUCCUGCCCAGCCACUGGGUCUGUGUCCAGUGGUGGCACUGCCAGCCCUGCAGGUGAAGUGGGAAGGGCCUUUCCAGGUCUUGUGGGUCACAUUUAUAGUAGCCAAAGUUGCAGAAAAAGGAUGUUGAGUCUCUUCUUCUUGAGUUCAGAAAGCUCCUUUUGGUUGGUGAGCAGAACAAAGUGGAUCCUUAAGAGUUCCCAUCUGUGUUUGUGUCUCAGCCUGUGUUAUGAUUCAGGGCUGUAGCUGUUGUUGUCACUGAGGAGUCAAACUCUGCUUUAAAUCAUGAGACACUGGCCUAAUGGUCAAGUGUCAGGAAAAAAGUGGGAAUGAUAUGUGAGUGUUGAGAUGUAACAAGAGCUAAUCCUUUUUGCAGUGGGAUGUAGCCUGGAAACUGCACCGAGCUGAGCCAAGGGACUUACAGGGACCACCCAAGGGAGGUGAAGAAAGAAGGAAGAAGGGAAGUGAGGCAGCAGCCAAGCAGCACCAAGUGCCUGUGUAAGCAGGGAAUAACUCCUGUCAGCAGCAAGGUCCCGACUGAAGUGGCAGCUGCAGUUGUUCCUGUGGUGUGGGCCAGUGGAGUUCCAGGAGAGUGGAAGAGGGCAGAACCUGUAGGUAUUACCCCUGAUGUGGGAUCUAUAUGGGUAAGGCAAACCCAGUAUCCUUUAAAAUCAGAAUUCCAGCUUGGAUUGGUUGCAGUAACAACUAAAUUGGCUCAUCCUGGUUUGCUUGUAGGAUGUGAAUGCAAGAACCUGCCAAGGAACCAAUGGCCAAGAUGAUUGAUGAGUGCAGGACCUGAGAGAACCACCUUGAAUGACAACCUUAGGUUUAAAAGAUGGCUGUUGCUUUUGAAGGAGAAAAUCUGGAAAGCAGGAAGGAAGAAAAGAAGUCACCUGACUCUUCCCUGAGCCCCAGACAGCCCAUGAACUGCCUUCCUGGGAAUGGUAGGACGGGGUGGACUCUGGAUUGCUCCCUCUGGAUGUGUGGCUCUCCCCUCAGGAACUCCAGGAACUCCUGGUGCCGCCUGGGCCGAUGGAUUGGACGCCCCAGCCCCUCCGUUCCUGCCCAGCCACUGGGUCCGUGUCCAGUGGUGGCACUGCCAGCCCUGCAGUGGGAUGUAGCCUGGAAACUGCACAGAACUGAGCCAAGGAAUUUAAAGGGACCAACCAAGGGAGGUGAAGAAAGAAGGAAGAAGGGAAGUGAGGCAGCAGCCAAGCAGCACCAAGUGCCUGUGUAAGCAGGUGAGUUGUGUUGAGGUUCCUAAGGCAGGCACUGAGGACUUUGAGGGCUCCAGACAGAGCAGAGCUGCGAAGGCCCUCGGUGAAGUCCCUUGGAAACCUUCUAAGGGUAGGUGUGUAUGGUAGUAAGUGUUGGAUAAUGCCCUGAAUGUGGAACAGGAAUGCAGAGAACAAAAAUGAAUCCUCCUGUCAUGCUGCCAUAUCAGCUGCAGUGGAGAUAGCUCUGUGUGCCCUUUGGGAGCUGAUUGCCAGGACACCUGGUGGGGUGGAAUGAUUCAAGAGCACAGGAAUAAAAGGUUGCCUGGCUUCUAAACCUCUCCA